Long non-coding RNA from Ricinus communis (castor bean), 578 nucleotides. RefSeq lists it as uncharacterized. Lineage: Eukaryota; Viridiplantae; Streptophyta; Magnoliopsida; Malpighiales; Euphorbiaceae. The transcript is spliced from 2 exons. The record is from RefSeq and is a predicted model, not a curated record.
CUUAAACCAACUUAAAUUAGGUAGUUUUAGAAAUAUUCAGUUUUGAGGUUGAAUAAUUAUUUCCUAAAAUCAUAAUAUUACUUCGUUAGUUUCUUUGUCGUCUUUUUAUAUAUUAGGGUUUCGUUUCUAGAGUAGCAGACGCAGCCACCCACCACCAAACGCACUCUUCUUCUCUCCACUUUCCAUUUUUUUCUUUUAGCUCAGCUUCAUCGCCCAUCCCUCUGCCGCCAAUUAAACGGAGUCGCACCAUUCUCUGUCUUGUCAUGGUAUUACCGAUUCGGCGUGAACAGAAUCAGGUGUGACCCAGCUGAGCAAUAGUGAGGAUGGGGCAGAAGAUUUUUUUCUUUUUUCAGUGAGGAGGAGGUGUGCAAAUGAGCCGAGCUUUUCACCGUUGAGGUUCAGCUAGCGGGAGAAAAAUUAAAUAAGCUCCUCUCGAGCCGAGCUCGAGAAAUUCUUAUAUUCUUGAGCUGGACCAAGGCUCAUUUCAAAUUUAGCUCAUUUUAAAUUUAAUAAAUUGAAAACUCGAUUUGUAAUUAAUUUGAUAUUAUAUAUAAAUGAGUUAGAUUCAAGUUUUGCUA